This 67-nucleotide transfer RNA is filed under the name Jacana jacana (wattled jacana). RNAcentral's name for it is "tRNA-Phe". It matches the Rfam family "tRNA". From Rfam's summary of the family: Transfer RNA (tRNA) molecules are approximately 80 nucleotides in length. Their secondary structure includes four short double-helical elements and three loops (D, anti-codon, and T loops). Further hydrogen bonds mediate the characteristic L-shaped molecular structure. tRNAs have two regions of fundamental functional importance: the anti-codon, which is responsible for specific mRNA codon recognition, and the 3' end, to which the tRNAs corresponding amino acid is attached (by aminoacyl-tRNA synthetases). tRNAs cope with the degeneracy of the genetic code in two manners: having more than one tRNA (with a specific anti-codon) for a particular amino acid; and 'wobble' base-pairing, i.e. permitting non-standard base-pairing at the 3rd anti-codon position. Lineage: Eukaryota; Metazoa; Chordata; Aves; Charadriiformes; Jacanidae. The record is from RNAcentral. RNAcentral also lists the same sequence under 1 other name.
GUCCCUGUAGCUUAACACAAAGCAUGGCACUGAAGAUGCCAAGAUGAUGCCAAUGCAUUCAUGGACA